GCGAACGCUGGCGGCGUGCCUAAUACAUGCAAGUAGAACGCACAGUUUAUACCGUAGCUUGCUACACCAUAGACUGUGAGUUGCGAACGGGUGAGUAACGCGUAGGUAACCUGCCUGGUAGCGGGGGAUAACUAUUGGAAACGAUAGCUAAUACCGCAUAAUAUUAAUUAUUGCAUGAUAAUUAAUUGAAAGGUGCAAUUGCACCACUACCAGAUGGACCUGCGUUGUAUUAGCUAGUAGGUGAGGUAACGGCUCACCUAGGCGACGAUACAUAGCCGACCUGAGAGGGUGAUCGGCCACACUGGGACUGAGACACGGCCCAGACUCCUACGGGAGGCAGCAGUAGGGAAUCUUCGGCAAUAGACGAAAGUCUGACCGAGCAACGCCGCGUGAGUGAAGAAGGUUUUCGGAUCGUAAAGCUCUGUUGUAAGAGAAGAACGGGUGUGAGAGUGGAAAGUUCACACUGUGACGGUAUCUUACCAGAAAGGGACGGCUAACUACGUG
This 504-nucleotide ribosomal RNA is filed under the name uncultured bacterium. Its description in RNAcentral is "partial 16S ribosomal RNA". It matches the Rfam family "Bacterial small subunit ribosomal RNA", at positions 29 to 507 of the family's 1533-position model. The record is from RNAcentral.